Grammomys surdaster is the source of this 497-nucleotide long non-coding RNA. RefSeq lists it as uncharacterized. The record is from RefSeq and is a predicted model, not a curated record. NCBI's taxonomy places the organism in Eukaryota, Metazoa, Chordata, Mammalia, Rodentia, Muridae. The transcript is spliced from 4 exons.
UGAGAAGCUGCACGGGAGAAGCUCCAGUGUGACCUGAAGCCCUUGCCGGACUUUGACCGGGAAAGCUGGGCCAGGUGCUCUUGUGCAGCCCAGCAAGGCAGAGCAGAGGUCUGAGAAGUAUGUCAGGGAGGAACCUGGCCUUGGGUCCGUGUGAAGGAGCGUGGAUGCCUGGGGAUGUGUUUCAUCAGAGAAAGGGUUGGCUCUGGGAUCUGUGAGAAGAGAACAUUCCCGGGAGGAAGUGUUGACUCUAUUCCUUUCUUGGAGCUAUCGGGUUCCCAGGAGUUGACUCAGAUUGGAAGUCUUCCAUCUUAAAAGAGGCUUGAAGGCGCAGCUGUGACUGGGGGGCAGCGACUGGCACCAUCUUCCAGAUCAUUCUGUCCCAACUGCCCGAUGUGUGGAAAUUGACGGGAAGGAACGUAAUGAGUCUGUGUCCUACUCCGCAGCCAAAGUGUGCAGCAAAACUUCUACCAGGAAAGAAGGCAAGUCUCAGAACUAGG